This is a long non-coding RNA of Carlito syrichta (Philippine tarsier), 505 nucleotides long. RefSeq lists it as uncharacterized. Lineage: Eukaryota; Metazoa; Chordata; Mammalia; Primates; Tarsiidae. The record is from RefSeq and is a predicted model, not a curated record. The transcript is spliced from 4 exons.
AAAAGCUCAAGAGGACAACAAGAAAGUAGUGCUGGCUGGAUGUGUUCCGCAAGCCCAACCUCGUCAGGACUACCUUAAAGGCCUGAGUGUCAUCGGGGUUCAGCAGAUAGAUCGUGUGGUAGAAGUUGUGGAGGAAACAAUUAAAGGUCACUCUGUGAGACUACUGGGUCAGAAAAAGGAUAAUGGAAAGCGGUUGGGGGGAGCACGAUUGGAUUUGCCUAAGAUUAGGAAGAAUCCACUGAUAGAAAUCAUUUCUAUCAAUACUGGGUGUCUCAAUGCUUGUACCUAUUGCAAAACUAAACACGCCAGAGGAAAUCUGGCCAGUUAUCCAAUUGAUGAACUAGUGGAUAGAGCCAAGCAAUCUUUUCAAGGUAAGAGUUUCUAGAAUUACAUGUGAAGUUAUUCUUCUUAAUAAAUUAUAUUAGUCUUUCAAUCUGCUUGUUUAGCUUUCUGAAAAGUUUACAAAUAUUUCAGUAUUACUGAUGAAAAAUGUAUCUAGAUUUAA